RNAcentral lists this ribosomal RNA (950 nucleotides) under Enterococcus durans. RNAcentral describes it as "bacterial SSU rRNA". It matches the Rfam family "Bacterial small subunit ribosomal RNA", at positions 34 to 952 of the family's 1533-position model. Lineage: Bacteria; Bacillati; Bacillota; Bacilli; Lactobacillales; Enterococcaceae. The record is from RNAcentral.
CGGAGGGGGGGUGGUGACUAUACAUGCAAGUCGUACGCUUCUUUUUCCACCGGAGCUUGCUCCACCGGAAAAAGAAGAGUGGCGAACGGGUGAGUAACACGUGGGUAACCUGCCCAUCAGAAGGGGAUAACACUUGGAAACAGGUGCUAAUACCGUAUAACAAUCGAAACCGCAUGGUUUUGAUUUGAAAGGCGCUUUCGGGUGUCGCUGAUGGAUGGACCCGCGGUGCAUUAGCUAGUUGGUGAGGUAACGGCUCACCAAGGCCACGAUGCAUAGCCGACCUGAGAGGGUGAUCGGCCACAUUGGGACUGAGACACGGCCCAAACUCCUACGGGAGGCAGCAGUAGGGAAUCUUCGGCAAUGGACGAAAGUCUGACCGAGCAACGCCGCGUGAGUGAAGAAGGUUUUCGGAUCGUAAAACUCUGUUGUUAGAGAAGAACAAGGAUGAGAGUAACUGUUCAUCCCUUGACGGUAUCUAACCAGAAAGCCACGGCUAACUACGUGCCAGCAGCCGCGGUAAUACGUAGGUGGCAAGCGUUGUCCGGAUUUAUUGGGCGUAAAGCGAGCGCAGGCGGUUUCUUAAGUCUGAUGUGAAAGCCCCCGGCUCAACCGGGGAGGGUCAUUGGAAACUGGGAGACUUGAGUGCAGAAGAGGAGAGUGGAAUUCCAUGUGUAGCGGUGAAAUGCGUAGAUAUAUGGAGGAACACCAGUGGCGAAGGCGGCUCUCUGGUCUGUAACUGACGCUGAGGCUCGAAAGCGUGGGGAGCAAACAGGAUUAGAUACCCUGGUAGUCCACGCCGUAAACGAUGAGUGCUAAGUGUUGGAGGGUUUCCGCCCUUCAGUGCUGCAGCUAACGCAUUAAGCACUCCGCCUGGGGAGUACGACCGCAAGGUUGAAACUCAAAGGAAUUGACGGGGGCCCGCACAAGCGGUGGAGCAUGUGGUUUAAUUC